This is an RNA transcript of Carlito syrichta (Philippine tarsier), 1740 nucleotides long. It is a transcript of the gene named nucleolin pseudogene, with no coding region annotated. The record is from RefSeq and is a predicted model, not a curated record. NCBI's taxonomy places the organism in Eukaryota, Metazoa, Chordata, Mammalia, Primates, Tarsiidae. The transcript has a single exon.
AUGAAGAGGCUGGCUACUCGGCAGGCAGGUAAAAAUCAAGGGGACCCCAAGAAAAUGGCUCCUCCCCCGAAGGAGGUAGAAGAAGAUAGUGAAGAUGAGGAAAUGUCAGAAGAUGAAGAAGAUGAUAGCAGUGGAGAGGAGGUUAUCAUCCCUCAGAAGAAAGGCAAGAAGGCUACUGCAACCCCAGCAAAGAAAGUGGUGGUUUCCCCAACAAAAAAGGCUGCAGUUGCCACACCUGCCAAGAAAGCAGUUGUCACCCUAGGCAAAAAAGCAGCUGCCAUACCAACUAAGAAGACAGUUACACCAGCCAAAGCAGUCGUGACUCCUGGCAAGAAGGGAGCCACACCAGGGAAGGCAUUGGUAGCAACCUCUGGUAAGAAGGGAGCUGCCACCCCAGCAAAGGGGGCGAAGAACGGUAAGAAUGCCAAGAAGGAAGACAGUGAUGAGGAGGAGGAUGAUGACAGUGAUGAGGAUGAGGAUGAUGAGGAUGAUGAUGAAGAUGAGGAGGAAGAGGAUGAAUUUGAACCAGCAGUGACAAAAGCAGCAGCUGCUACUCCUGCCUCAGAGGACGAGGAUGAUGAAGACGAUGAAGAGGAAGAUGACGAGGAUGAUGAUGAUGACGAGGAAGAUGACUCUGAGGAGGAAGCCAUGGAUACCACACUGGCCAAAGGUAAGAAAGCUUCUGCAAAGGCUAUUCCUGUGAAAGCUAAGAGCGUGGCUGUGGAUGAAGAGGAAGAUGAUGAGGAUGAGGAUGAUGAUGAUGAUGAUGAUGAAGAGGAUGAUGACGAUGAGGAUGACGAAGAGGAGGAGGAAGAGGAGGAGGAAGAGGAAGAGCCUGUCAAAGAAGCAUCUGGAAAACGAAAGAAAGAAAUGGCCAAGCAGAAAGCAGCUCCUGAAGCCAAGAAACAGAAAGUAGAAGCCACAGAGCCAACUACAGCUUUCAAUCUCUUUGUUGGAAACCUGAACUUUAACAAGUCUGCUGCUGAACUAAAAACUGGUAUUAGUGAUGUUUUUGCUAAAAAUGAUCUUGCCGUUGUGGAUGUCAGAAUUGGUAUGACUAGGAAAUUUGGCUAUGUGGACUUUGAAUCUGCUGAAGACCUGGAAAAAGCCUUGGAACUCACUGGCUUGAAAGUCUUUGGCAAUGAAAUUAAACUAGAGAAGCCAAAAGGAAAAGACAGUAAGAAAGAUAGAGAUGCAAGAACCCUUUUGGCCAAAAACCUCCCUUACAAAGUCACUCAGGAUGAAUUAAAGGAAGUGUUUGAAGAUGCUGUGGAUAUCAGAUUAGUCAGCAAGGAUGGAAAGAGUAAAGGGAUUGCUUAUAUUGAAUUUAAGACAGAAGCUGACGCAGAUAAAACCUUUGAAGAAAAGCAGGGAACAGAGAUUGAAGGGCGAUCUAUUUCCCUGUACUACACUGGAGAGAAAGGUCAAAGUCAAGACUACAGAGGUGGAAAGAAUAGCACUUGGAGUGGUGAAUCAAAAACUCUGGUUUUAAGCAAUCUUUCCUACAGUGCAACAGAAGAAACCCUUCAGGAAGUAUUUGAGAAGGCAACUUUUAUCAAAGUGCCCCAGAACCAAAAUGGCAAAUCUAAAGGGUAUGCAUUUAUAGAGUUUGCGUCAUUUGAAGAUGCUAAAGAAGCUUUAAAUUCCUGUAAUAAAAGGGAAAUUGAGGGCAGAGCAAUCAGGCUGGAGUUGCAAGGACCCAGGGGAUCACCUAAUGCCAGAAGCCAGCCAUCCAAAACU